AUGAUAACGAGAAUAAUAAUAGAGACUCCAGUGAGGGGUCCACCUUGUUCAUAGUCAGAAGACUGAAGUUAACAAAAAUGUACCACGUAAAUUAUUCUUUCUGCCACUGUCAUUCAUGACCUACGAAAACAGCAACUGCGUAUGGUUUAACCUAAGAAGCACAAAAGUGACAAUUUAGUGUCAGCAAGGUGACAUCCAUCACAAGGAUGUUUCUUUUUUUUUUUGAGAGAGAGAGAGAGAGAUCGCACGUGAGCACGAGUGGGGGAGGGGCAGAGGGAGAGAGAAUCUCAAGCAGGCUCCAUGCUCAGCGUAGAGCCCAAUACGGAGCUUGAUCUCGUGACGGCAAGAUCGUGACCCGAACUGAAAUCAAGAGUCAGGCACUUAACCCACCGAGCUUCUCCAAUUAAUGCUUCGUAAUUUGAAUUUUACUCUUCGGUGUCUCUGUUUUUAUUUGUGCAUUCGUUGGCCGUAUGGCUUAUGUAAGAAUUAAAAGCAUAAAAAGUUGAUUCCUAGUUUAAUGUUUAUAACAUUGAAGUAAAAAUAACAUAAAUACCGGAACACCACAAGAACAUGUUCUUUAACAGAGCUCUGUAUCAUUGCUCACUUUUGGUAAACAUUGAUCUGAAUAUUCCUACCACAAACGUUCAGGCUGGGUUUCUUUUCUUGUUAUCACCUGCUCUCAGCCCUGAAUGCGAGAAGUUUCACAAAUAUUCCAGAACUGCAUUUUAAGCCUCAAACUCAUGAAGUAUCAGAUUUGUAACUGAAGGUGAUGGUCUUUAAUUCCUCAGUGUGUUUCCAGUUCAAGUGAACCCCAAAGUAGAAGGGGAUCCCCCACAAAAAAAAAAAGUCAAGCAGAGUCAUUCCGUGUAGGCCUCUGGCAGAACUCCACGGGUCAGCUGUAAGGAAGCGGCACCCGAACCUGACCUUGGGCGCUAGCGCCCACGUAACCGAAUCGGUAGCUGCCCGCCGCUAACAGGAAGCUGGUCGUCCACACUCCGGCUCAGGACGAAGCAAGCAUUUCUUUCUUUGAGCUUUCGGGGCCAGUUAGGAUGCUUACAACCAGGGGCCAAUCCUGCCGCGGGCAUCAGCUGCGCAGAUGUUUACUUUCUCCUGGCUCCCACCGCAAAAUGGGUCUGAUGAUAGAGGGCGCGCCCCCUAGCGUGAGGGCUGGGUAGCUUCAAGGGGACACAGAAGGUGCUGGCACGCGGUAAACAUUCAGUGACCGUUGGCUGCCAGCGUCAUGACUUCUUCUACAAUUACUGUCAUUGCUACUGCUGCCGCAGGGGAGGGCCAAGGGACCUACGCCUUCCGCAUUUCACAGCUUCGUUUAAUCCGUAUAGCCUGAAAGUCCGGGACACCUUUAAACUCCUGAAGAACCUUCGCACGUGACUUCGGCUGCAAGCAGGUUUCCCUUGGCCUUCAUUAUUUGCCACUGGAAAAUGCUGUAAAUGACAUCAGACAGACUUCAGACGCCACCUCUGGAACUAAGAAACGAAGCAGUUAUUCAGAGCACCGGUGAUUGUCAUUUUAGAAGAAAUAAGAAAUCAGUAUCGCA
This is a long non-coding RNA of Felis catus (domestic cat), 1555 nucleotides long. RefSeq lists it as uncharacterized. The record is from RefSeq and is a predicted model, not a curated record. The transcript has 2 exons. NCBI's taxonomy places the organism in Eukaryota, Metazoa, Chordata, Mammalia, Carnivora, Felidae.